RNAcentral lists this ribosomal RNA (497 nucleotides) under uncultured bacterium. RNAcentral's name for it is "partial 16S ribosomal RNA". It matches the Rfam family "Bacterial small subunit ribosomal RNA", at positions 28 to 507 of the family's 1533-position model. The record is from RNAcentral.
GAUGAACGCUGGCGGCGUGCCUAAUACAUGCAAGUCGAGCGAACAGACGAGGAGCUUGCUCCUCUGACGUUAGCGGCGGACGGGUGAGUAACACGUGGAUAACCUACCUAUAAGACUGGGAUAACUUCGGGAAACCGGUGCUAAUACUGGAUCAUAUAUUGAACCGCAUGGAUCAAUAGUGAAAGACGGUUUUGCUGUCACUUAUAGAUGGAUCCGCGCCGCAUUAGCUAGUUGGUAAGGUAACGGCUUACCAAGGCAACGAUGCGUAGCCGACCUGAGAGGGUGAUCGGCCACACUGGAACUGAGACACGGUCCAGACUCCUACGGGAGGCAGCAGUAGGGAAUCUUCCGCAAAGGGCGAAAGCCUGACGGAGCAACGCCGCGUGAGUGAUGAAGGUCUUCGGAUCGUAAAACUCUGUUAUUAGGGAAGAACAAAUGUGUAAGUAACUAUGCACGUCUUGACGGUACCUAAUCAGAAAGCCACGGCUAACUACGUG